Molecule: ribosomal RNA, 222 nt
Filed under: uncultured Actinomycetales bacterium
Lineage: Bacteria; Bacillati; Actinomycetota; Actinomycetes; Actinomycetales
Description: partial 16S ribosomal RNA
Rfam family: Bacterial small subunit ribosomal RNA
Source: RNAcentral
GAGUAACACGUGGGUGAUCUGCCCUGCACUCUGGGAUAAGCCUGGGAAACUGGGUCUAAUACCGGAUAGGACCAUGCUUUAGUGUGUGUGGUGGAAAGUUUUUCGGUGUAGGAUGAGCCCGCGGCCUAUCAGCUUGUUGGUGGGGUAAUGGCCUACCAAGGCGGCGACGGGUAGCCGGACUGAGAGGUUGGUCGGCCACAUUGGGACUGAGAUACGGCCCAG